RNAcentral lists this ribosomal RNA (469 nucleotides) under uncultured bacterium. RNAcentral's name for it is "partial 16S ribosomal RNA". It matches the Rfam family "Bacterial small subunit ribosomal RNA", at positions 28 to 507 of the family's 1533-position model. The record is from RNAcentral.
GACGAACGCUGGCGGCGUGCUUAACACAUGCAAGUCGAACGGAAAGGCCCUGCUUGCAGGGUGCUCGAGUGGCGAACGGGUGAGUAACACGUGGGUGAUCUGCCCCUUACUUUGGGAUAAGCCUGGUAAACUGGGUCUAAUACUGGAUAGGACCAUGCUGUAGGUGGUGUGGUGGAAAGAUUAGUUUCGGUGAGGGUUGAGCUCGCGGCCUAUCAGCUUGUUGGUGGGGUAAUGGCCUACCAAGGCGUCGACGGGUAGCCGGCCUGAGAGGGUGGACGGCAACAUUGAGACUGAGAUGCGACCCAGACUCCUACGGGAGGCAGCAGUGGGGAAUAUUGCACAAUGGGCGCAAGCCUGAUGCAGCGACGCCGCGUGGGGGAUGACGGCCUUCGGGUUGUAAGCUCCUUUCAGCCAUGACGAAGCCCUUGUGGUGACGGUAGUGGUAGAAGAAGCACCGGCUAACUACGUG